AUGGUUGCAAGGUUCCAGAAGAAAGGAGAGGCAACCGUGUGUGAGAGUGAACCCAAGCGUGCUGCCCCCGGAUGACAGGACUGGAGUUGACAGAAACCACAGGGAGGCUCCUGGCAGGCUCUGCCCCGUGGUUCUGGACCUGCCAGGCCGGGCACAAGGUACACGAGGGCAUGCCCUCCCAGGCCACUUUC
Non-coding RNA from Delphinapterus leucas (beluga whale), 191 nucleotides. Lineage: Eukaryota; Metazoa; Chordata; Mammalia; Artiodactyla; Monodontidae. The record is from RefSeq and is a predicted model, not a curated record.